Molecule: long non-coding RNA, 1109 nt
Organism: Trichogramma pretiosum
Lineage: Eukaryota; Metazoa; Arthropoda; Insecta; Hymenoptera; Trichogrammatidae
Exons: 5
Source: RefSeq, a predicted model, not a curated record
CUCGGACCGUAGCCAGCGAGAUAAGUCAAUCGUAUUUUCUUCCGAUGCGCGCGAGUCAAUGCGCCAAGUCGACGUCUCCUCGACAACUCGUUCAAGUUCAUUGAUUCAAGUAUACGACUAAGUUUGCUCGUUCGAUAGGUAACCAAGGAUGUCGCACGCAAGUGUUAAAAAAUUGAAUUCCUCGGUGUAUCGUAGUACACAUCUGCGACAACGGCCAGUCGUCAGUUGAGCAUGGAAAAGUAUCGCCAACGAGCAGUCACGGGGUCACAUCGCUGUGUAAUAUGCGAGUAAUGUGUACAGCUAUUUAAUUGCUAGUAUAACGAAAUCAAAUUCGUUGGGUAAAGGAGAAGCCGAACAAUUCAUAAUCAGACGUUGAUGACGUUAAUUUUGAAUGGGUGGACCCUCGUAAAGCAAAAAGCUUUUUAACAUUUUCGUUUUACAAACAACCAGUAAAUCAUGAUGAACUGAUAAUUUCGCAGUGCACAAUCGAAUCAAACUCUUCGAAUCUUAUAUUUGUCAGAACUCAUUUGAACUCCGGAUUAUACUCAAGAGACAUAUAAUGACGUACAUUUUAGUAGCUAACUCUUUGAGAGUGGGAUUUGUCGCAAAUCAUUGUAUCCAGAAUAAACUAAUGACAGCUCAUAAUCGAAGCAAACCCUAGAAGCUUAAUAAUUACGAGAGAAAAUUCUCAAGAAAUUAAAAUCUCAAAAUCCACUUGCAUAAGGCACAUAACAAUGUCACACAUACACAUGUGAAACGUACGAAUCAUAUUUCGCAACUAAGGUUCAUCUCAAAAACCAAAUCAAUGAGGUGCAAAAAAGAAAUUUCAAAACUCACUCUGACGUGUUGCACGAUGGUAUUACGUAUGCAUUCGAUGAAUUCAGAAAAAAUUUCUCAAGUAAGAUUGGUCCCAAAAAAAUACAUGAAUAUGGUACAAAACAGUGUCGCUUUAUAUGCUAGGUACACAAGAAAAAACUCGGACAAAAAGGAGUCUCAAAUCCCAUAUCAAUAUCAUGCAUCGUUCACGCUUUAUGCCCUAAUCCUCUUUUAUAUAAAUGUAUAAAAUGUGUAUAUUCAAUAUUUAUAUAAAAAUGGCGAUCUACAAAUUA